CCUACGGGUGGCAGCAGUCGGGAAUAUUGCGCAAUGGAGGAAACUCUGACGCAGUGACGCCGCGUAUCGGAAGAAGGUUUUCGGAAUGUAAACUCUUGUCGUUAGGGAAGAGAAAGGACAGUACCUAAGGAGGAAGCUCCGGCUAACUACGUGCCAGCAGCCGCGGUAAUACGUCGGUGGCAAGCGUUGUCCGGAUUUAUUGGGAGGAAAGGGCGUGUAGGCGGGAAGGCAAGUCAGAUGUGAAAUCUGGAGGCUCAACCUCCAAAUUGAAGUUGAAACUGUUUUUCUAGAGUACUGGAGAGGUAGACGGAAUUCCUUGUGUAGCGGUGAAAUGCGUAGAGAUAAGGAGGAACACCAGUGGCGAAGGCGAUCGGCUGGACAGCAACUGACGGUGAGGCGCGAAAGCGUGGGGAGCAAACAGGAUUAGAUACCCUAGUAGUC
RNAcentral lists this ribosomal RNA (441 nucleotides) under uncultured bacterium. RNAcentral's name for it is "partial 16S ribosomal RNA". It matches the Rfam family "Bacterial small subunit ribosomal RNA", at positions 338 to 795 of the family's 1533-position model. The record is from RNAcentral.